This 299-nucleotide long non-coding RNA is filed under the name Solanum tuberosum (potato). Its description in RNAcentral is "long non-coding RNA (STUB_LNC010313)". Lineage: Eukaryota; Viridiplantae; Streptophyta; Magnoliopsida; Solanales; Solanaceae. The record is from RNAcentral.
AAAGAUUAUUCAAACUAGUACUCAUGCCUAGCUUCUGCUCAUUAUAGCAUAAAUGACUCAAAUUAUUCGAUCUUGUUAUCAUUGCAUUGCUAAGCACAAGUGACAUUUAUAUUUAUUUUUUAGAUACUCUCUUGUCAUAAAUCUCCAAUGAAAAAUCACUAAUUAUCUGUGUAGUACUUGUAGUUGUGGAACCAGUAGAACUCAAACUUGGAGCCAUGGCUGAAGCAACAGUGCUUAACUUGUCUCCAUUCCCAUUACUUUUUGACACACAAGAGUUGCUCAAAUGAACCUCAUUAGCA